UGGCUCAGAGGUUAAAGUGUCUGCCUGGAAUGCAGGAGACCUGGGUUCAAUCCCGG
Molecule: transfer RNA, 56 nt
Filed under: Ovis aries (sheep)
Lineage: Eukaryota; Metazoa; Chordata; Mammalia; Artiodactyla; Bovidae
Rfam family: tRNA
About the family: Transfer RNA (tRNA) molecules are approximately 80 nucleotides in length.
Source: Rfam by way of RNAcentral